GGCCGCCUGGCGAAAUGGCAUCGCGUCUGACUACGAUUUCAUUGUUAUCAGGAGAUUGCAGGUUCGACCCCUGCGGUGGUCA
Molecule: transfer RNA, 82 nt
Filed under: Crucibulum laeve
Lineage: Eukaryota; Fungi; Basidiomycota; Agaricomycetes; Agaricales; Nidulariaceae
Rfam family: tRNA
About the family: Transfer RNA (tRNA) molecules are approximately 80 nucleotides in length.
Source: Rfam by way of RNAcentral